This is a long non-coding RNA of Puntigrus tetrazona (Sumatra barb), 346 nucleotides long. RefSeq lists it as uncharacterized. Lineage: Eukaryota; Metazoa; Chordata; Actinopteri; Cypriniformes; Cyprinidae. The record is from RefSeq and is a predicted model, not a curated record. The transcript is spliced from 3 exons.
AGUCCUCACUGGCUAAUCUUUAUGGAGUCAACUUCACUGACAGAGUUAUUGGAAAUAGGGGAUGCUGGGAGAAAGAGCGGAGGAGGCAGCGAGUGUUUUGAAAUGCAAGUGCAGCAGCAGCUCCCAGUCCUGUGAUGGGCAACAUGCCGCCCAAUGACGGCAUGCCAGGUGGACCCAUGCCUCCCGGCUUCUUUCAAGGCCCACCCGGGUCACAACCAUCACCACACUCACAGCCCCCUCCACACAACCCUAACAACCCCAUGAUGGGGCCACAUGGCCAGGUAAGACCCCUUGAUCCCUAUUUUUGUGUACUUCCUCACACAUAACCUGUAGAAUAGGCAUGGAU